This is a non-coding RNA of Podarcis lilfordi (Lilford's wall lizard), 82 nucleotides long. NCBI's taxonomy places the organism in Eukaryota, Metazoa, Chordata, Lepidosauria, Squamata, Lacertidae. The record is from the annotation of a GenBank genome assembly.
ACCUAGCUGUCUGAAAGUCAUUGCAGGAUAGAGCAUGAGACUCUUAACCUCAGGGUCAUGGGUUCGACCCCCACAUUGGGUG